Long non-coding RNA from Pan troglodytes (chimpanzee), 2431 nucleotides. RefSeq lists it as uncharacterized. The transcript has 3 exons. NCBI's taxonomy places the organism in Eukaryota, Metazoa, Chordata, Mammalia, Primates, Hominidae. The record is from RefSeq and is a predicted model, not a curated record.
AUUGCGGAGCCGGAAGAGAAAGAGUCGUCAGGAACACGUUGGAACCAGAUUCAGGGCAUGAUAUGUACCCAGGGGGUCAUAAUGAAGCCUGGGCUGGAAAAAGAGUUUGAUAGUUCAACUUUCAUGAAAAAUGUGCAGUGGAAAGGAGUGAAAAAUCUGGUUUCCUUCUCCACUGUUUUCCAUUUCAGGAGGCCAUUACAUUAAUGCCUUCAGCUUUUUGCACAGCACAUAUUGCUUUGAUGGACGCUUUGAAAUAUCUGGUCGUUAUAACUCAGUCACUCAAGACACCUCACUUAAAAAUUCUAGUUAUGGAAUAAUUGUGAUGCCAUAGGAAGAAAAUUAAGCACGCUGUCUACUCUUGGGAAAUGUUAACAAAUGCCUGUGCAUACUGUGAAGAGUCCACGGGGAAGAAAAUGAGCCACACAAGAUGUUCCCACCUAUAUUUAUUAUACACUGAUCACUAUGAAGACAUAAAGAUUGGUUAAAAGUGGCCUUUGAAGAGCAUGUAAUUGUGUCCAGAACUGGCGGGUUCUUGGUCUCACUGACUUCAAGAAUGAAGCCGCAGACCCUCACGGUAAGUGUUACAGUUCUUAAAGGCAGCGUGUCCGGAGUUUGUUCCUUCUGAUGUUCAGAUGUGUUUGGAGUUUCUUCCUUCUGGUGGGUUCGUGGUCUCGCUGGCUCAGGAGUGAAGCUGCAUUCCUUUGCGGUCAGUGUUACAGCUUUUAAGGUGGCGCAUCUGGAGUUGUUCGUUCCUCCCAGUGGGUUCGUGGUUUCGCUGGCUUCAGGAGUGAAGCUGUAGACCUUCUCGGUGAGUGUUACAGCUCAUAAAGGUGGUGUGGACCCAGAGAUUGAGCAGUAGCAAGAUUUAUUGCAAACAGCGAAAGCAUAAAGCUUCCAUGGUGUGGAAGGGGACCCAAGUGGGUUGCCCCUGCUGGCUGGGGCAGCCUGCUUUUAUUCUCUUAUCUGGCCCCACCCACAUCCUGCUGAUUGGUCCAUUUUACAGAGAGCCGAUUGGUCUGUUUUACAGAGAGCUGAUUGGUCCGUUUUGACAGGGUGCUGAUUGGUGCAUUUACAAUCCCUGAGCUAGACACAAAAGUUCUCCACGUGCCCACUAGAUUAGCUAGAUACAGAGUAUCGAUUGGUGUAUUUACAAACCCUGAGCUAGACACAGAGUGCUGAUUGGUGCAUUUACAAACCUUGAGCUAGAUACAGAGUGACGAUUGGUGCAUUCACAAUCCCUUAGCUAGACAUAAAGAUUGUCCAAGUCCCCACCAGAUUAGCUAGAUACAGAGUGCCGAUUGGUGCAUCCACAAACCCUGAGCUAGACACAGGGUGCUGAUUGGUGUGUUUACAAACCUUGAGCUAGAUACAGAGUGCCGAUUGGUGUAUUCACAAUCCCUUAGCUAGACAUAAAGAUUGUCCAAGUCCCCACCAGAUUAGCUAGAUACAGAGUACCGAUUGGUGCAUCCGCAAACUCUGAGCUAGACACAGGGUGCUGAUUGGUGUGUUUACAAACCUUGAGCUAGAUACAGGGUGCCAAUUGGUGUAUUUACAAUCCCCUAGCUAGACAUAAAGGUUCUCCAAGUCCCUACCAGACUCAGGAUCCCAGCUGGCUUCACCCAGUGGAUCCUGCACUGGGGCCACAGGUGGAGCUGCCUUCCAGUCCCGCGCCGUGCGCCUGCACUCCUCAGCCCUUGGGUGGUCGAUGGGACCGGGCACUGUGGAGCAGGCGGCAGCGCUCGUCAGGGAGGCUCAGGCCGUGCAGGAGCCCAUGGCAGGGGGAGGGGAGGCUCAGACAUGGCGGGCUGCAGGUGCCAAGCCCUGCCCCACGGGGAGGCAGCUAAGGCCUGGCAAGAAAUCGAGUGCAGCGCCAGUGGGCUGGCACUGCUGGGGGACCUGGCGCACCCUCCGCAGCUGCUGGCCCAGGUGCUAAGCCCCUCACUACCCGGAGCUGGUGGGGCCAGCUGGCUGCUCUAAGUGUGGGGCCCGCCAAGCCCACGCCCACCCAGAAGUCUAGUUGGCCCGCAAGCACCGCAUGCAGCCCCGGUUCCCCCCCGUGCCUCUCCCUCCACACCUCCCCGCAGGCUGGGGGAGCUGGCUCUGGCCUCAGCCAUCCGAGGAAGGGGCUCCCACAGUGAAGUGGUGGGCUGAAGGGCUACUCAAGCGCGGCCAGAAUGGGCGCCGAGGCCGAGGAGGCACCGAGAGCGAGUGAGGGCUGCGAGGGCUGCCAGCAUGCUGUCACCUCUCAUAAUGAAAUCGGAAAAUCAUUCUAAGCUUGCAGAAAACUUAUGGAAUAAUAGAUAUUGGUAUACAGUCAAAUGCUAAAUGGUAAGAUGUAGGCGAUUGACUAAAAAUAGAGUUUGGAGAAUUUUCCUGGAGGAAAUAAAGCUGCUGAAGUCUUCAAAUUUGAAAAUUUAGGUGAUUUUAUUUU